This is a long non-coding RNA of Rosa chinensis, 977 nucleotides long. RefSeq lists it as uncharacterized. The transcript has 3 exons. NCBI's taxonomy places the organism in Eukaryota, Viridiplantae, Streptophyta, Magnoliopsida, Rosales, Rosaceae. The record is from RefSeq and is a predicted model, not a curated record.
UCAUUUUCCAAAAAUAUCACUCGGUUUCCAAUUUUAGAAACCGAGCUUUCUUCUCUCUCUCUUGCGUCCGAAACCGGAGGAAAAACAGAGCAAGCUUUCCCGGUCGAGUUCUCCACCCUCCGGCCACCGUUUGACGCCAAAUCACCUCCCUUGCCUUCACCUCGACGCCGCCUGCCUUCCGGGCGUGAUUGUUUCCGCCGGCACAGCCUCAAAACCAGGUGAAACGGAGUUGCAGACCUUGAAGCAAAAACGGUCAACCCCGUUUUCCUCCUAGCUCCGGCCACCAAAACUUCCGAUCCUUAGCUCCAUGAACUCGCCUCAACUUGCUGAUCAUCAUACUAGAAGGAUCGCACCUGGAGUGACCGGUUUCACGUUCGUCGGAGCUCGGUCGGUUUUCGAUCCGAAACGAAAAUCUUUCAAUCGGGAUAUCUCGAGCUGUAGUGCAUCGUUUUGAUUGAUUCAUUUUCCAGUGGGUUCGCCUUGAUGUUCUUAACAACUCUCUAGAAGGAAUCAAGGCCUAAAAUUGAAGUUUUUACGUCGAAAAUUGAGCUCGCCUGUUUCUGGAAAUUUUCGCCGGUUUCUGGAAAAUUUCCGGCCACAUUCAUACUGUUCAAGGUGAUUGACGGUCUUCCUUGGGUGAGCGGUUUCGGUGUGUAUUGUGUUGAAGUGAAGACGCAGCGGGACUAGAGCGGGUAAUCCUGUAGGUCAGGAGAAUCAGGGCGGUGAUCGUGCGGGUUAGAGCAUUUGUUAUAAUUUUACAGCAAUUGUAAUAGUGAGGUGAGUUAAGCUCAUUUGAGCCUUGCAAUUUGAUUUGGUGAGAGUGUGCUGUAAUAAAUAACUUGAGAAUGUGGUUUAUUGUAUUAUUGAGAGGUGUGAAGUGUGGUUGUUUUUGAGAAAAAAAUUCAGGACGUUGGUUUGUAAUAGUUAUUAUUCAUGUUUCGGAUUUGAAUUGUUUAUUUAAAAUUCGGGGCGUGACA